RNAcentral lists this ribosomal RNA (503 nucleotides) under uncultured bacterium. RNAcentral's name for it is "partial 16S ribosomal RNA". It matches the Rfam family "Bacterial small subunit ribosomal RNA", at positions 30 to 523 of the family's 1533-position model. The record is from RNAcentral.
AUUGAACGCUGGCGGCAGGCUUAACACAUGCAAGUCGAGCGGGGUGAUGGUGCUUGCACUAUCACUUAGCGGCGGACGGGUGAGUAAUGCUUAGGAAUCUGCCUAUUAGUGGGGGACAACAUCUCGAAAGGGAUGCUAAUACCGCAUACGUCCUACGGGAGAAAGCAGGGGAUCACUUGUGACCUUGCGCUACUACAUGAGCCUAAGUCGGAUUAGCUAGUUGGUGGGGUAAAGGCCUACCAAGGCGACGAUCUGUAGCGGGUCUGAGAGGAUGAUCCGCCACACUGGGACUGAGACACGGCCCAGACUCCUACGGGAGGCAGCAGUGGGGAAUAUUGGACAAUGGGGGGAACCCUGAUCCAGCCAUGCCGCGUGUGUGAAGAAGGCCUUAUGGUUGUAAAGCACUUUAAGCGAGGAGGAGGCUCUUUUGGUUAAUACCCAAGAUGAGUGGACGUUACUCGCAGAAUAAGCACCGGCUAACUCUGUGCCAGCAGCCGCCGUAA